This 467-nucleotide ribosomal RNA is filed under the name uncultured bacterium. RNAcentral's name for it is "partial 16S ribosomal RNA". It matches the Rfam family "Bacterial small subunit ribosomal RNA", at positions 28 to 506 of the family's 1533-position model. The record is from RNAcentral.
GACGAACGCUGGCGGCGUGCUUAACACAUGCAAGUCGAACGGAAAGGCCCUGCUUUUGUGGGGUGCUCGAGUGGCGAAAGGGUGAGUAACACGUGAGUAACCUGCCCUUGACUUUGGGAUAACUUCAGGAAACUGGGGCUAAUACCGGAUAGGAGCUCCUGCUGCAUGGUGGGGGUUGGAAAGUUUCGGCGGUUGGGGAUGGACUCGCGGCUUAUCAGCUUGUUGGUGGGGUAGUGGCUUACCAAGGCUUUGACGGGUAGCCGGCCUGAGAGGGUGACCGGCCACAUUGGGACUGAGAUGCGGCCGAGACACCUACGGGAGGCAGCAGUGGGGAAUAUUGCACAAUGGGCGGAAGCCUGAUGAAGCAACGCCGCGUGCGGGAGGACGGCCUUCGGGUUGUAAACCGCUUUCGCCUGUGACGAAGCGUGAGUGACGGAAAUGGGUAAAGAAGCACCGGCGAACUACGU